RNAcentral lists this transfer RNA (73 nucleotides) under Chloroflexota bacterium. Its description in RNAcentral is "tRNA-Glu". It matches the Rfam family "tRNA". From Rfam's summary of the family: Transfer RNA (tRNA) molecules are approximately 80 nucleotides in length. The record is from RNAcentral. RNAcentral also lists the same sequence under 1 other name. Lineage: Bacteria; Bacillati; Chloroflexota.
GCCCCCAUCGUCUAGAGGCCUAGGACAUCGGCCUUUCAAGCCGGUAACAGCGAUUCGAAUUCGCUUGGGGGCA